AGCAGCCGCGGUAAUUCCAGCUCCAAUAGCGUAUAUUAAAGUUGUUGCAGUUAAAAAGCUCGUAGUUGAAUUUCGGGAUCAAUAUGUUGGUCGUGCCUUGGUACGUACUGGCGUCAUUGAUUUCUACCUUCUGAAGAACCUCGAUGUCAUUAAUUUGGUGUCUUGGGGAAUCAGGACUGUUACUUUGAAAAAAUUAGAGUGUUUAAAGCAAGCUCACGCUUGAAUACAUUAGCAUGGAAUAAUGAAAUGGGACGUUUGAUUCUAUUUUGUUGGUUUCUAGGAUCGACGUAAUGAUUAAUAGGGAUAGUUGGGGGCAUUAGUAUUCAAUUGUCAGAGGUGAAAUUCUUGGAUUUAUUGAAGACUAACUACUGCGAAAGCAUUUGCCAAGGAUGUUUUCAUUAAUCAAGAACGAAAGUUAGGGGAUCGAAGACGAUCAGAUACCGUCGUAGUCUUAACCAUAAACUAUGCCGACUAGGGAUCGGAUGAUGUUAAUUUUUUAAUGACUCAUUCGGCGCCUUAC
This 520-nucleotide unclassified non-coding RNA is filed under the name uncultured Glomus. Its description in RNAcentral is "SSU rRNA". It matches the Rfam family "Eukaryotic small subunit ribosomal RNA", at positions 569 to 1091 of the family's 1831-position model. The record is from RNAcentral. Lineage: Eukaryota; Fungi; Glomeromycota; Glomeromycetes; Glomerales; Glomeraceae.